GGAUAUGGCUCAAUGGUAGAGUGCUUGCCUUGCAUGCACAAGGUCCUAGGUUUGAUCCCCAGCACCA
This 67-nucleotide transfer RNA is filed under the name Marmota monax (woodchuck). RNAcentral's name for it is "tRNA.Ala". Lineage: Eukaryota; Metazoa; Chordata; Mammalia; Rodentia; Sciuridae. The record is from RNAcentral.